RNAcentral lists this ribosomal RNA (425 nucleotides) under uncultured bacterium. RNAcentral describes it as "bacterial SSU rRNA". It matches the Rfam family "Bacterial small subunit ribosomal RNA", at positions 354 to 796 of the family's 1533-position model. The record is from RNAcentral.
GUGGGGAAUCUUAGACAAUGGGCGCAAGCCUGAUCUAGCCAUGCCGCGUGAGCGAUGAAGGCCUUAGGGUUGUAAAGCUCUUUCAGGGGGGAAGAUAAUGACGGUACCCCCAGAAGAAGCCCCGGCUAACUCCGUGCCAGCAGCCGCGGUAAUACGGAGGGGGCUAGCGUUGUUCGGAAUUACUGGGCGUAAAGCGCACGUAGGCGGAUCGGAAAGUUGGGGGUGAAAUCCCAGGGCUCAACCCUGGAACUGCCUUCAAAACUAUCGGUCUGGAGUCCGAGAGAGGUGAGUGGAAUUCCGAGUGUAGAGGUGAAAUUCGUAGAUAUUCGGAGGAACACCAGUGGCGAAGGCGGCUCACUGGCUCGGUACUGACGCUGAGGUGCGAAAGCGUGGGGAGCAAACAGGAUUAGAUACCCGUGUAGUCC